GGGCGCAGCUGAUGCAGCCCGCCGCGUGAGUGAUGAAGGCCUUCGGGUCGUAAAGCUCUGUCCUCAAGGAAGAUAAUGACGGUACUUGAGGAGGAAGCCCCGGCUAACUACGUGCCAGCAGCCGCGGUAAUACUACGUGCACGCAGCCG
Molecule: ribosomal RNA, 149 nt
Filed under: uncultured bacterium
Lineage: Bacteria
Description: partial 16S ribosomal RNA
Rfam family: Bacterial small subunit ribosomal RNA
Source: RNAcentral